RNAcentral lists this transfer RNA (62 nucleotides) under Ictidomys tridecemlineatus (thirteen-lined ground squirrel). RNAcentral's name for it is "Spermophilus tridecemlineatus (thirteen-lined ground squirrel) tRNA". It matches the Rfam family "tRNA". Rfam says of the family: Transfer RNA (tRNA) molecules are approximately 80 nucleotides in length. Their secondary structure includes four short double-helical elements and three loops (D, anti-codon, and T loops). Further hydrogen bonds mediate the characteristic L-shaped molecular structure. tRNAs have two regions of fundamental functional importance: the anti-codon, which is responsible for specific mRNA codon recognition, and the 3' end, to which the tRNAs corresponding amino acid is attached (by aminoacyl-tRNA synthetases). tRNAs cope with the degeneracy of the genetic code in two manners: having more than one tRNA (with a specific anti-codon) for a particular amino acid; and 'wobble' base-pairing, i.e. permitting non-standard base-pairing at the 3rd anti-codon position. RNAcentral also lists the same sequence under 1 other name. The record is from Rfam by way of RNAcentral. Lineage: Eukaryota; Metazoa; Chordata; Mammalia; Rodentia; Sciuridae.
GGGGAUGUGGCUCAGUGGCACAGCACUUGCCUAGCAAGUGAGACCCCUGAGUUCCAUCCCCA